CUUCCAAUGGUGAUAUAACUAGCCCGAUGACCUUAAAUUUAUAACAAAGAAUCUAAAAAGCCAUUAUGUUCACGGACCAAAAAUUAAAAUAGAGGCAUUAUCUUCAAGGUCACUCAAAGCUGAGUUUAACAAAUUCGGUUUCCCCUCGGCAAUCACAAAUGAACAAAGUAAGCACCAAUCAAACUAGUAUCAAACUUAUGUGACUCCUAUUUCUGCCAACUGUACGGGAAAUAUUUAAACUCUGUAUUCAUCUAGCACUAUGGAUUUUGUAACUAGUCAUUAUCUCCUUCAUUAAUAAGCAGUUAGUGAUAAAAUCAGAUCACAUCAUCUGUGCAGUUAAUUACAAACCGGAAAAUAUUCAGGGUAUACAAAUUUUAUUAGCAUGGCUGACAUCUGUCAACUAUUUUGGUUAAUUACUUCUGAAUUUGGAUUCUCGCCUUCAACUAUUUGAAAUUUAAUACAUUUGAUAUAAAGGGUUUUCAAGCUACCAUUAUUUCUGUUCAGUAUUUUUGUCUUAUUCCUAUUCUAAAAUUUUCAGAAAUAAGUCGUCAGCUCUUAGACUGACAUAGUUUAAACUGUUAAUUGGCAGAAAACUAUCUACCGCAUGGUUCAUUUUUUUGGUCAAUGUUCAUGAAAUACUCUCAGCAUUACCAUAUAGGACAGAAAAUAUUGUGAACUCUAAAUUACAUGUUAAGGAUAUCGCUCCACAACUUCACAGAGCAGGAAAAAGCAUUUGGCUUUUUAUUUUUAUAGGUUGGAUGUGGAUAGGUGGGUUGGUUGCUGUGUAAGUAAACGUGGUUGCCAGCCCUCCUCUAAUCUAUAAGUCAUUCGAGGGCAGCCUUCUUGGAAGAAAUUAGUUUUGCACUGAAAGAGAAGGCUGACUGAGGUGAAAAGAAAACAUCAAAAAAGUAAGAGGGAAUUCAAGAGGUGAGCAGAACAAAUAAUUGACAAAGUAAAGCAAAAGCCGUUCACUGAACACACAGUUCACAUUUGCACAGUAGUCAGUGGCAACGAGAACAGACAAAAGGAACGAUAAAAAGUGGAAGAAAUAUAUUAUGCUAAAAACACACAAUGUACCCAGCACACCAAUCCCAGGUGUUUACUUUUAAUCUCUCCAUGCUACGAUUAGACAAUUUUCUGAAUCCUGCAAAGAAAAGAGGCAUAGAGAUACCGACUCCCCAGAUGUGCAAAGGCAUAAUGGUAAUUUGAAUCCAGGCAGGCUAACUUCAUCCUCUCAAGCACAACACUACCCUAGUUCCAAAGGAUGUGUUCUCCCGAGAGCAAAGUAUAGACCCACGGUCAAUGACAACGGGGGUCUGACUCGUCCUUGAAGAACUGGUGCUUCCUCUGCAGUGACCCAUCACCCGUCCACUGUCAUCUUCACGUAACUGAACAAGCAGGGCUGCGGGUAGCAGCUGUGGUCGUGAUAAACAGCCCCACCGCCCCAGUCAAAGCUUAGCAUCAUCACCAAAAUCAGCACUGCUGCAGAAAGAUGUGAGGCCCCAAUACGAAAGGGUAUAUUCUCUAAAAGGUAUGGUUAUCAAAACACCUGUUGGAACUGACCUCUGUCUUUCACAACUAGAAUUAUGUUGCUCCUAUUAAUAAUGGCUUAGUAUUUGUUGCACGUGUUCCUCUGCCAUUCCUAAAGGAAAUUCCCAAGGAGGCUAAGGGAGGAUGUGAAUACUCUUGGAUCUCUGGCUUAAAACGCCUCCCCAUCUUACCCCAAAUGCCCACCAUCUGGUGUGGUUAUCAGCAGGCUGAGGGAUGUAUCUACUUACCACUGAGUGCCAUCUGUGGGACAAGGAUGCUUGUGGAGGUCUUGAGGUUCUUACUGAGUAAGACAUCCAAUAUUUAGACAUGAUUUUGUGGAGACACAGUCAAGCAGAUCAAGCAAAAAGAUCAAUUCCCAUACAAAUCAAAACCACAAUGAGCUGUCACCUCACCUCUGUCCAAAUGGUCAUCAUUAACAAGUAACAGGUGAUGGUGAGGAGGCAGAAAAAGGGAACCCUUAUGCACCGUUGCUGGGAAUGUAAACAGAUGCAGCCGCUAUGGAAAGCAGCAAAGUUCCUCAAAAAAAUUAAAAAAAUUAGAACUAUCAUACCAUCCAGCAACUCCACUCCUGGUUAUUUAUCCAAAGAAAAUGGAAACACUAAUUUGAAAUGAUAUCUGUGCCUCCACAUUCGCUGAAGCACUACAACAGCCAAGACAUGGAAGCAACCUAAAUCCUUCAAUAAGUAAAUGAAUAAAGAAUGUAGCAUUACUCAUCCAUAAAAAAAAAAAAGACAUCUUGGCAUCUGUAACAACUUGGAUGGACCCAGAGAGCAUUAUGCUAAGUGAAAUAAAUCAGAGAAAGGUAAAUACUAGCCGAUUUCAAUGAUACAUGAAAUCUGAAAAUAAGACAAACAUAAUACAACAGAAAGAGUUACGCAUACAGAGAACAAACAGGUGAUUGCCGGGGAGGGGGAGGGAGAUGAGAAAGUACAAACUUGCGGUUUUAAAAUAAAUGUCAUGGGCAUGAAAUGUUUGGUGCAGGGACUAUAGCCAAUGAUAAUACUUUUGUGUGGUGACACACGGUAACUAGACUUAGCGUGCUGAUCGUUGUGAAAUGGACAGAAAUACCCAAUCGCUGUUAUGUAUGAGGGACUAUGUUAUUUACAUACAUAGUGCCAUAGGUCAAUUACACUUCAAAACAAACAAACAUCGAAAAUGACACCAGAUCCACGGUUAUCAAAGGCUGGGGAAAGGGUUCCGGGGGGAGGGGAGUUGGAGGAGGGCCGUCAAAAGGUACAAACUUCCAGGUGUAAGUUAAUUAAGUACUAGGGAUAUAAGAUAGAGCAUGAUAAAUAGCAUUAACAUGCUGGAUGCUAUACAUGAAAGUUCUUCGAGUAAAUCCUAGCACGUCUAACCACACGGAAAAAAUAUUUUUUCUAUUUCUUUAGUUUUGUACGUAUAUGAGAUGAUAGAUACUGACUAACCUUUUUGUCAUCAUUGCAUAAUGUAUUAAGUCAUUAUCCUACACACCUUAAACUUACAUAGUAUUAUAUGUCAAUUGUGUCUCAACAAAAUGGGGGGGGGAAAGAGACCACUUCCCAGCAUCCUGUUUAAUCUGUAAGGCACCCUAAGUAUUCCUUUUGCUGUGUCUCCUGAUCAGUGAUCCACAGUAGUUUAUUUUUUAAACCCAGGUAAUAAUUUUAAAUUUCAGAAAUCUAGAGACCCUGUUUAUGGUUUGAAAGACACAAUAUUAAGAUGUCAAUUCUCCCCACACUGAUCUAUAAAUUCAAUCAAAUCUCAGUCAAAAUCCUAGCAGACCUCUGGGUAGAAAAUGACAAGCUGAUUCUAAAAUUCAUAUGGGAUAGUCAAAACAACUCUGGAAAAAGUACCAAAGAAGAACAAAGUUGGAAGGCUAAUGAAGAAUUAUUACAGAACUACUAUAAUCAAAACACUGUAUUUGGCAUAAAAAGAGACAAUGGAUCACUUGAACAAAAUAGAAUCUCAAACAGAACCAGUCUUGGGUGAACAAGUGAUUUUCAAGAAACUGCAGAGGUAGUACAGUAAAAAGAGCCUUUUCAACAAAUGGUACUG
RNAcentral lists this long non-coding RNA (3582 nucleotides) under Sus scrofa (pig). Its description in RNAcentral is "lncRNA (ENSSSCG00050004566.1)". Lineage: Eukaryota; Metazoa; Chordata; Mammalia; Artiodactyla; Suidae. The record is from RNAcentral.